CCCGCACAAGCGGCGGAGUAUGUGGUUUAAUUCGAUGCAACGCGAAGAACCUUACCUGGUCUUGACAUCCCGGAGACCCUUAGGAAACUAGGGGGUGCUUCCAUCUGGAAGAAUCUGGAGACAGGUGCUGCAUGGCUGUCGUCAGCUCGUGUCGUGAGAUGUUGGGUUAAGUCCCGCAACGAGCGCAACCCUUGCCUUUAGUUGCCAGCAGUUCGGCUGGGCACUCUAAAGGGACUGCCGGUGUUAAACCGGAGGAAGGUGGGGAUGACGUCAAGUCCUCAUGGCCUUUAUGACCAGGGCUACACACGUACUACAAUGGCCGAUACAAAGGGCAGCGACACUGCGAGGUGAAGCCAAUCCCGUAAAAUCGGUCUCAGUCCGGAUUGGAGUCUGCAACUCGACUCCAUGAAGUUGGAAUCGCUAGUAAUCGUGGAUCAGCAUGCCACGGUGAAUACGUUCCCGGGCCUU
RNAcentral lists this ribosomal RNA (468 nucleotides) under uncultured Desulfobulbus sp. Its description in RNAcentral is "bacterial SSU rRNA". It matches the Rfam family "Bacterial small subunit ribosomal RNA", at positions 920 to 1382 of the family's 1533-position model. Lineage: Bacteria; Pseudomonadati; Thermodesulfobacteriota; Desulfobulbia; Desulfobulbales; Desulfobulbaceae. The record is from RNAcentral.